Long non-coding RNA from Ictalurus punctatus (channel catfish), 2128 nucleotides. NCBI's taxonomy places the organism in Eukaryota, Metazoa, Chordata, Actinopteri, Siluriformes, Ictaluridae. The record is from Ensembl.
UUUUUUUUUUUGAUAAACCUGUGUUUGCAACUGUUCGAUAUCCAUGAGAGCAGAGAAUUUUUGUAAAAAAAAAAAAAAAAGUAACACUAUCAAAAGGUUAAACAAAAAAGACACAGCCGCCUUUCAUAUUUACCAAGGGUGCCAAUAUUAGUGGACGACACUGUAAAUUAGACGGACGGAUGGAUGGAUAGAAAGAUAGAUAAGCAGAAGAUAAUUAUGUAAUGACACUGCAGAUCUAACAACGCUGAUUGGUUUAUUUAUUUAUUUAUUUAUUUAUUUUACUACAUUUAAGGUAACACUUUCUAUGAGGCCCAUGCUUAUGAUGAACUAUUGACCCGUUUAUAAUUUAUAAGCAUGUAUUACUGCUCCAUAAACACACUUAUAACGACACAUAAAGACCUAUACUUCAUUAUAAUAACAGUUUACACUAUUGUUAUAAUUACUUAAAAGUGAUACAAUUUGCUUUUUCAAUGCCCAUGCUCAUAAUGCAUUAUACACCAAUUUAUAAGUAUUAGUCAGUCUUAUGGUUCCAUUAAUGUAUUUAUAAAAAUACAGGCUGCAUUUUUAUAAUGUUAUAUUAUAGUUGUAAUGACUUAUUGGUAAAGCAGAUUUAUUUCUAGGCCCAAUUAGUGAACUAUUUUAUAUUGUUGUUGACGGUUACGUCGUGCUGCCUUAUAAACACUUAUUGUGAGUUAUAAUACAAUUACUAACCUUUAUCAGUGCAUAAUCGAUGGCUUAAAGUAAAGUGAAAGCAUAGGAUGCAGUUUCCAUAAUGGAAAUUGAAUGCGGUUGGCAUGGAGGCGAUCAGCCUGUGGCACUGCUGAGGUGUUCUGGAAGCCCGGGUUGCUUUGAUGGCGGUCUUCAGCUCGUCUGUAUUGUCGGGUCUGGUGUCUCUCGUAGAUUCUCUAUGGGGUUCGGGUCAGGCGGGUCGGCUGGACGAUCGAGCACAGUAAUACCACGGUCACAAACCAGUUACUAGAAGUUUUGGCGCCGUGGGCAGGUGCCGAGUCCUGCUGAAAAGGAAAUCGGCACCUCCAUAAAGCUCGUCAGCAGAUGGAAGCAUGAAGUGCUCUAAAAUCUCCUGGUAGAAUCUCCUCUCGACUUGAGAAAACACAGUGGACCAACACCAGUAGAUGACACGGCACCCCAAAUCAUCACUGACAUCAUGUGAAAAGAUUACUUUGCACCACUGAUCAACGGUCCAGUUCUUUUCCUCCUUAGCCCAGGUAAGACGCUUCUGACGUUGUCUCACAAUUUUAUUAAGAGUGUUACAUUCUGUUAGUGUUUUGAUCGCAAGAUAUUUAAAACAAAAAUACAGAGAACUUUGCUACAGUAGCAUGUAAAUUGAUUGUUUAUCCCAUAAUAGCCACAUGAUUCAAUUAAACUAACAUUCAUGAUGUCUAACCCCACCCCCAAGAACAGUAUUUCCAGGAAUCCCCUUUGUAAAUUCCCAAGGGAUUCCUGGGAAAACUGGACCCCGGGGACAGGGAAGAAAGGCUCUGUAUCAGACAAAAGGAUACCACAAAACAGCAGUGCUGGGAUUUGAAAUCGCAACCAACUGAUUAGUAGCUCAGGUAUUUAACCUACAUUUUAUUAUUAAAAUCUGGCUAAUAAAACGUUCAUAACAAAUGCCGAUGUGUGUUUACAGUAGCAGUGUCCCUCUUCCCGUGCUACAGUGCUUCAUCUCAGACUCCCAAUUGACCAGAGAUGCAGCACUGCACCUUGGGCCUGAGGACUUGACUCUCAUCCUUGAGAAUGUGCACAGUAAACCCAGGCUGAAUACAUGCGAUAUGUUUGAUUUCUCAUUCUUCCUCCUUCCCACAUUGUAGGGCACAGUUUCUCUGUGCUCGUUGAAUUUGUUGGGUUUGUUUUGUUUUUUUUGUGUACUUGUAGGAUAUUAAAAGCUGUGAUGGGCCUCUGAGCUUUGUCAGUUAAAAAGCAGUGACAUAAUAAAAGUUAAAUACUUAUCAGCUCCACAUGCACAACCAAAGUAAACUUGUGAGUUGUAUUUCACUGGACCAUGGGGGGUUGGGGGGGCGGACACCAUAUGUAGGGUCUUCACUUUCCCAGCACUUGGCAUGCAUUGUGUUGAAACAGCGAGGCUCCUUCACCAGCAGUAACAGGAAGC